CCUCGGGUGGCAGCAGUGGGGAAUAUUGGACAAUGGGCGAAAGCCUGAUCCAGCCAUGCCGCGUGUGUGAAGAAGGCCUUCGGGUUGUAAAGCACUUUCAGUGGGGAAGAAAGCCUUGGGGCUAAUACCCUCGAGGAAGGACAUCACCCACAGAAGAAGCACCGGCUAACUCCGUGCCAGCAGCCGCGGUAAUACGGAGGGUGCGAGCGUUAAUCGGAAUUACUGGGCGUAAAGCGCGCGUAGGCGGUCUGAUAAGCCGGUUGUGAAAGCCCCGGGCUCAACCUGGGAACGGCAUCCGGAACUGUCAGGCUAGAGUGCAGGAGAGGUAGGUAGAAUUCCCGGUGUAGCGGUGAAAUGCGUAGAGAUCGGGAGGAAUACCAGUGGCGAAGGCGGCCUUCUGGACUGACACUGACGCUGAGGUGCGAAAGCGUGGGUAGCAAACAGGAUUAGAUACCCCAGUAGUC
This 464-nucleotide ribosomal RNA is filed under the name Vreelandella stevensii. RNAcentral describes it as "partial 16S ribosomal RNA". It matches the Rfam family "Bacterial small subunit ribosomal RNA", at positions 339 to 795 of the family's 1533-position model. Lineage: Bacteria; Pseudomonadati; Pseudomonadota; Gammaproteobacteria; Oceanospirillales; Halomonadaceae. The record is from RNAcentral.